This 484-nucleotide ribosomal RNA is filed under the name uncultured bacterium. RNAcentral's name for it is "partial 16S ribosomal RNA". It matches the Rfam family "Bacterial small subunit ribosomal RNA", at positions 30 to 507 of the family's 1533-position model. The record is from RNAcentral.
AUUGAACGUUGGCGGCAUGCUUUACACAUGCAAGUCGAACGGCAGCGCGGGCUUCGGCCUGGCGGCGAGUGGCGAACGGGUGAGUAAUACAUCGGAACGUGCCCAGUAGUGGGGGAUAGCUCGGCGAAAGCCGGAUUAAUACCUCAUACGACCUGAGGGUGAAAGCGGGGGAUCUUCGGACCUCGCGCUGUUUGAGCGGCCGAUGGCAGAUUAGCUAGUUGGUGGGGUAAAGGCCUACCAAGGCGACGAUCUGUAGCUGGUCUGAGAGGACGACCAGCCACACUGGGACUGAGACACGGCCCAGACUCCUACGGGAGGCAGCAGUGGGGAAUUUUGGACAAUGGGCGAAAGCCUGAUCCAGCAAUGCCGCGUGUGUGAUGAAGGCCUUCGGGUUGUAAAGCACUUUUGGAGGGAACGAAAAGGACUGUGCCAAUACCACGGUUCGAUGACGGUACCCGCAGAAUAAGCACCGGCUAACUACGUG